AAACCUUCGCAAUGCGCGCAAGCGCGACGAGGGGAACUCGAGUGCUAUUAUCCUUUUGGGUGAUAGCUUUUCUCGAUCCUAAAAAGAUCGGGGAAUAAAAGCUGGGUAAGACGGGUGCCAGCCGCCGCGGUAAUACCCGCAGCUCAAGUGGUGGCCACUAUUAUUGAGCCUAAAGCGUCCGUAGCCGGUCUUGUAAAUCUCUGGGUAAAUCCCAUCGCUCAACGGUGGGAAUACUGGAGAGACUGCAAGACUAGGGAUCGGGUGAGGUAAGAGGUACUCCUGGGGUAGGGGUAAAAUCCUGUAAUCCUGGGGGGACGACCGGUGGCGAAGGCGUCUUACUAGAACGACUCCGACGGUGAGGGACGAAGGCUAGGGGAGCAA
This 381-nucleotide ribosomal RNA is filed under the name uncultured Thermoplasmatales archaeon. Its description in RNAcentral is "bacterial SSU rRNA". It matches the Rfam family "Archaeal small subunit ribosomal RNA", at positions 344 to 722 of the family's 1478-position model. Lineage: Archaea; Methanobacteriati; Thermoplasmatota; Thermoplasmata; Thermoplasmatales. The record is from RNAcentral.